This 492-nucleotide ribosomal RNA is filed under the name uncultured bacterium. RNAcentral describes it as "partial 16S ribosomal RNA". It matches the Rfam family "Bacterial small subunit ribosomal RNA", at positions 29 to 507 of the family's 1533-position model. The record is from RNAcentral.
AGUGAACGCUGGCGGUAGGCCUAACGCAUGCAAGUCGAACGGCAGCACAGUAAGAGCUUGCUCUUACGGGUGGCGAGUGGCGGACGGGUGAGGAAUACAUCGGAAUCUACUUUUUCGUGGGGGAUAACGUAGGGAAACUUACGCUAAUACCGCAUACGACCUACGGGUGAAAGCAGGGGAUCUUCUGACCUUGCGCGAUUGAAUGAGCCGAUGUCGGAUUAGCUAGUUGGCGGGGUAAAGGCCCACCAAGGCGACGAUCCGUAGCUGGUCUGAGAGGAUGAUCAGCCACACUGGAACUGAGACACGGUCCAGACUCCUACGGGAGGCAGCAGUGGGGAAUAUUGGACAAUGGGCGCAAGCCUGAUCCAGCCAUACCGCGUGGGUGAAGAAGGCCUUCGGGUUGUAAAGCCCUUUUGUUGGGAAAGAAAAGCAGCAGGUUAAUACCCCGCUGUUCUGACGGUACCCAAAGAAUAAGCACCGGCUAACUUCGUG